GACGAACGCUGGCGGCGUGCUUAACACAUGCAAGUCGAACGGAAAGGCCCUGCUUUUGUGGGGUGCUCGAGUGGCGAACGGGUGAGUAACACGUGAGUAACCUGCCCUUGACUUUGGGAUAACUUCAGGAAACUGGGGCUAAUACCGGAUAGGAGCUCCUGCUGCAUGGUGGGGGUUGGAAAGUUUCGGCGGUUGGGGAUGGACUCGCGGCUUAUCAGCUUGUUGGUGGGGUAGUGGCUUACCAAGGCUUUGACGGGUAGCCGGCCUGAGAGGGUGACCGGCCACAUUGGGACUGAGAUACGGCCCAGACUCCUACGGGAGGCAGCAGUGGGGAAUAUUGCACAAUGGGCGGAAGCCUGAUGCAGCAACGCCGCGUGCGGGAUGACGGCCUUCGGGUUGUAAACCGCUUUCGCCUGUGACGAAGCGUGAGUGACGGUAAUGGGUAAAGGAGCACCGGCUAACUACGG
RNAcentral lists this ribosomal RNA (467 nucleotides) under uncultured bacterium. RNAcentral's name for it is "partial 16S ribosomal RNA". It matches the Rfam family "Bacterial small subunit ribosomal RNA", at positions 28 to 506 of the family's 1533-position model. The record is from RNAcentral.